This 25-nucleotide non-coding RNA is filed under the name Rattus norvegicus (Norway rat). Lineage: Eukaryota; Metazoa; Chordata; Mammalia; Rodentia; Muridae. The record is from RNAcentral.
UUUGAAAAUGGUACUCCUUCUACAC